CAAUAGCGUAUAUUAACGUUGUUGUAGUUAAAAAGCUCGUAGUUGGAUUUCUGGAGGGAGCGUCGGCCCGUAUUUACGAGUGCGUGACGUCUCUGUCCAUCCUUGCGGGAAGGCACGGCAUUGAUUUGUUGUGUCGGAUCGCAUCAUUUACUGUGAAAAAAUUAGAGUGUUCAAAGCAGGCUUAUGCCGUUGAAUAUAUUAGCAUGGAAUAAUGAGAUAGGACCUUGGUACUAUUUUGUUGGUUUGCGCACCGAGGUAAUGAUUAAUAGGGACAGUUGUGGGUAUUCGUAUUCCAUUGUCAGAGGUGAAAUUCUUGGAUUUCUGGAAGACGAACUAAUGCGAAAGCAUUUACCAAGGAUGUUUUCAUUAA
RNAcentral lists this ribosomal RNA (370 nucleotides) under uncultured eukaryote. RNAcentral's name for it is "partial 18S ribosomal RNA". It matches the Rfam family "Eukaryotic small subunit ribosomal RNA", at positions 592 to 976 of the family's 1831-position model. The record is from RNAcentral.